Long non-coding RNA from Choloepus didactylus (southern two-toed sloth), 222 nucleotides. RefSeq lists it as uncharacterized. The transcript is spliced from 3 exons. The record is from RefSeq and is a predicted model, not a curated record. Lineage: Eukaryota; Metazoa; Chordata; Mammalia; Pilosa; Megalonychidae.
UCGUGUAGCAGAGGCUUGCAACCCCAGAAGAAUUUGCAGGGGCUGCCAUCAAGUGAUAUUAGUGCUAUCUUGGCAGUUGAAAAUUUCAGCACUUAAUCUAUAUCUGACUCCCCUGAUUCAACUGUGAACUCCUUGAGGGUAGGAGAGUGUGCCGGUUUGACUGUGUUAUGUUCCCCAGAAAAAGCCAUGUUCUUUGAUGCAAUCUUGUGGGGCAGAAGUUUU